CCAUUUUCUAAAGGCCACCGCAAGCCACAGGGAAGCCGCAUGGAUGCACAAUGCUCUCAAGGGGAAAAAGUGAAUAUUCUAGAACAACAGUACAAUCCACGACCGUGAAUCUGACCCUGUCCUUCUCACUCCAUACACACCCACAUGGAUUUUCAUAGCAUUCUUAUUUAGAAGAUAUUCUAUGUCCUAUUAAUAUUAUCUUCAUGUAUUUGAUGUAUUUGUGGGGGAUGAUUUGCAGCACAGGUCAUAUAUCUGGAAGUCUUCUGAACAACUAGGAGCCCCUUCAUCCAGACAGUCUGCAUGCUUUCUCCUGUAAUCUUUCCUGCUGGCUCCCUUCAUAGAUGCCUGGCCUGUCUGGGCUUCCCUUCUCUCAAACUGGGCUCACUUACUAAAGUGACCUUUCUCUUGACUAGGCAGCUACUUUGAUGACCUCCUCAAAUGCAAUGCAAAAGCUGGACUCUCCUCCGCCCCCAAGCACUCCCAGGCUCCUGGGCAGGGCCAUCAACUCCACUCCAGCCAUCCCUCCAGACUGGCGCCUGAAAAAUAGAAUUUCUGCUUCAGACCCAAGCAUUUGCUGCCGUCAGGCAUUUCAAAGAGGACAAGACAACAAGGUGUUCUGAGACAAGCAGAGAAGAUCAGUCAUCCUUGGGGACUGAGGGGAUUCAGCAGAGAAGGCUGGGCUGGACAGCCCUUCCCAGGGACACAAGGACCUAAAGAGGCACCUCAGUGGGUGUGCCCCAUGGGGGGUAUAGGAAGGCUUGAAAUUUUGAGUAAACGGACUCUCAGGGGGAUGCUUCCAUAGAGGCUGGGGGUGAACACCUCCAUCUACAUCAGUUAGUGACAGAGGGGAGCAGAACACAUGGAGAGCUGUGAGACGGCAAUUAGGAAUCACAGAAUCCAAAGCAAAGGAUCAUCAUUAGUAGAGUAAAUGGCCCUUGAUGAAGGAAACUUGACUCCAAUAAACAGGUGGAGUUCAAGCCAAUGAAUUAGCCUAGCUACAAUAAAAUCAGACACCCACCAGCCUGCUCCUACCUGGUUCAGUCUUCCCAUAGUACCUGCCUGUGGGGUCCCAAUGUGAAUCACGUUGACCCUAAAGAUGUCAGCCUUAAGCACAUCCACACCUCACUACCACAGUACACACAGGCUCUGCUCUCACAAGGUUGGCUCUUUCUUUGUGCCUGAAGAGCACACAUGAGUUCUCAUCUUGUGUCCAUGCCAUUGCUCACAUCCAUGCCCCGACUGGAAUCCUCUCCCUACUCCUCUCUGUCUACCCAGAUGCUUGCUAUUCUUUAAGGAGCAGCAUGGGUCCUACUACUAUUUAAGCACUGAAGCUCACAUUGAUCUCUCCCUUCUCUCCAUUUCUACAAUUACCUCCAUGAAUGGCCAGUUUGUAUUAUUCUUGAUAAUUAUAAUAAUACAUUAUUUCAAAGCAUUUCCUCUCUGGUCCUCACGUUAUGCUGCUCAGAGCUAUAGGGUACUCCUGGGUGCCCCCAGGGCCAGGAGGUGGCUCACCCUCAGGACAUAAGCCUCAUGCUUAUGUCCCUGCCCCCUCUAACUACAGCAGCUCAGCUCUUGAUCUGUGUUUCAUUUUAGAGUUUCACACACAAUUUUUUUCUGUUUUAAAAGGGAUUGCACUAUUGAUUUAGAAACUACAUUUUUUAUUUCAUCCUCAUGAGAAGUUUGUGAGGCUUGUAGGACUAGGUAUUAUCACCCACAUUUUGCAGCUGAGGAGCCCGAAGCUCAGGGAGAUAAACUGUCUCAUCAAGAGCACACAGCUAAGGGAAGAAGGAGAAUCUCGAUUUCUGUCUUUUGAGUCUAAAUCCAGUGUAUUUACAACCCACACUUGGGCUUAUCUCUAACCUAAUUGUUAACUUCUCUCAGAAGCAGAAACUGAAUUUUUAUUACUUAUUUAUCUGGUUUUCUUGCUUGCUUGCUUGCUUUUCUUUUUUUUUCUUUCUUUUCUUUUUUUUUUUUUUUUUAUGGAGUCACCCAGUCUGGAGUGGUACAAAUGGUACGAUCUCAGCUCAUUGCAACCUCUGUCUCUGCGGUUCAAGCAAUCUUCCUGCCUCAGCCUCCCAAGUAGCGGGGACUAUAGGAAUGCACCACAAUGCCCGGCUGAUUUUUGUAUUUUUUGUAGAGAUGGGGUUUCGCCAGGUUGCCUAGGCUUGUCUUGAACUCCUAGUCUCAAGUGAUCCACCCGCCUCAGCCUCCCAAAGUGCUGGAAUUACAGGCAUGAGCCACUGCACCUGGCCCUUCUCUGUUUGCUUCUGAUUCCGAACAUGGUUGUGGGCACACAGUAGGUGCUUACUACUUACCUAGCCUUGAUUGCAGGUGCACCCUUGGCUUUGCUGGAGAUGCAAGGCCUGACCUCACCUCAUGCCUUUUUUAGGCAGCACAUACCUGUGAGCUGAGUGAUUUACAAGGCUGUACUAGGUACCUGGGCAUUUUAUGUAAUCAAAGGGAUACUUUGCUGCUCUCUUUCUCUUGCUGUUGACAUGGUUACAAAAUCUUAUUAUUAGCCCAGAGGAUGGGGUAAUAGGACAUGACAUUCACAUUGUCAGUGUUUUAAAGAGCUGUAGUUACCUCCUGGAGAAUAAUCUGUGUAUUGUAGCAAGCAACAGUGCUGCUGCUGCACCUGGUGCAGCUUCUGUUUUCCGGCUCCCUCUUCAUCCUUCUGCAGUUCUGAGAAUGAGGCGUUCCCACCAGGAGGCAAGAUCGGGUAUCGUUCUUGGCCACCCUGGCCACACUGUGGGAAUACACCACCAUCCCUGUCCUCAUGACCUGGGGAGGAGGUAUGCAGGGAACCACCUUUAGGUAAGAGAAGGAGCAGAAGCAGUGGGCUGACUCACAAAGAAAAAAAAAAAAGAUAAAUCAAGAUAAAAUUGUUUCUAAAUUGAAUGUUUUUCACUAUUUUCAGUGUGGUAUCUGCAGUGCUCCAAGAUGAUUCCCUCUCGAGGGCUUCAGAAAAGCUGUAAAUAGAAUGAAUUGCUUUUAGGGACUUAACUCUGGUAGUUCACUUCUCAAGAAAAUAUAUGCUAAUGCAUGUAGACUAUCAUUAUUGGGGAGACCUAUGUCCCGACUCUUUUAUGUCUAUGAAGAGCAGGUUUCUGAUUGCUAGCAUUUUGC
Molecule: long non-coding RNA, 3126 nt
Filed under: Homo sapiens (human)
Lineage: Eukaryota; Metazoa; Chordata; Mammalia; Primates; Hominidae
Description: HSALNT0181600
Source: RNAcentral